GGGCUCGUGGUCUAGCCUGGAUCAGGACGCAGGCCUGCGGCAAGCUGAGUAGAAAGCCUGAUAUCUCGGGUUCGAAUCCCGACGAGCCCACCA
RNAcentral lists this transfer RNA (93 nucleotides) under Candidatus Methanomethylicus sp. Its description in RNAcentral is "tRNA-Arg". It matches the Rfam family "tRNA". From Rfam's summary of the family: Transfer RNA (tRNA) molecules are approximately 80 nucleotides in length. Their secondary structure includes four short double-helical elements and three loops (D, anti-codon, and T loops). Lineage: Archaea; Thermoproteati; Thermoproteota; Methanosuratincolia; Candidatus Methanomethylicales; Candidatus Methanomethylicaceae. The record is from RNAcentral.